Molecule: transfer RNA, 76 nt
Filed under: Deltaproteobacteria bacterium
Lineage: Bacteria; Pseudomonadati; Myxococcota; Myxococcia
Also listed under: 2 other names
Description: tRNA-Asn
Rfam family: tRNA
About the family: Transfer RNA (tRNA) molecules are approximately 80 nucleotides in length.
Source: RNAcentral
UCCCCGGUAGCUCAGUCGGUAGAGCAGCUGGCUGUUAACCAGCGGGUCCGUGGUUCGAGUCCGCGCCGGGGAGCCA